CGGCGGGUACCUUGAAACUAGCGAUGUUCAUCGUGCUAACCAUGAUAGCAAUACAGUAAACAUUAAAGGCUAACCACAAUAGAGAGUUUCAUUUUGAUGUGUCCAAGAUAGCAACAUAAGCAACAUGAAAAUGAAAAUGUGUUUGAAACAUACCUCUACAAUGCAAAAUUUCAUGGUGUAGUUUUAUAUGCACUACAUGCAAGACACAAACUGUGUUGGUAAAUGUGCAUACAUGGUUUCAUCUAGAUGAAACCCCUCUUACCUCUCUCCUCAUUAACUCACUCCAUAUCCUGAAAAAUGCUGACAUGGCAUCCUAAUUAAUGUGCAUCAAACCUCUACGAAAAGCUAUAUACAAG
RNAcentral lists this long non-coding RNA (356 nucleotides) under Setaria viridis. RNAcentral's name for it is "long non-coding RNA (SVIR_LNC003180)". The record is from RNAcentral. Lineage: Eukaryota; Viridiplantae; Streptophyta; Magnoliopsida; Poales; Poaceae.